This 1213-nucleotide small RNA is filed under the name Histoplasma ohiense. RNAcentral's name for it is "hypothetical lncRNA". Lineage: Eukaryota; Fungi; Ascomycota; Eurotiomycetes; Onygenales; Ajellomycetaceae. The record is from RNAcentral.
CUCCUCCUCUUUCUUUCCUCUCCCUUUUUCUUCCUGCGCCCGCGGAGUCGCCGAACAGAUGUCCGAUGACCUCGCGGGCUGCUGCUUCAUUGGUUUCUGAACCAUCCACGCCGCCCCUCACAGUGUUACUUUGCUUGAUCUGGAGUCUAGGCUGCUGGGACAUCUGCAGCCAUGUUGCAAUGGCAAUGGCCUUCGCUGUAUUGUACGAUCGGCGACUGUGAACCGCAGAUUGCCAAUGGUUUAUUUUUUUUAUUUUAAUUUUAAUUUUUUUUUUUAUGGUUGGGCUUUAUCUGGUCGAUCUGUUCUCCUGUACUUUGUUGUCUUGGGCGCCUUUCAUCUGUGGAGAUCUGUGCGGAAAAGCAACAGACGACAAUCGAUUGAGGCCACAGGGAAGAUCAGUGGGUGAGUCUUCUGAAGCCAGAGUGCUUGCUGAGCCCUGAGUGAUGGAGGGUUGCAUCGCCCUUUGACCCAUUAAGACAGACUGCCUCAUUCCCUUUCCCCAGUCAAUAGCAAAAUUGCUGCACUUCUUUUUUGAUAUUGGUGUACACCUGCAGGUCGACCAAGUCGGGGUUUCAUUCAGAUUGCAUGCUCAACAUGUCAGGGUUGAAAGUGGCGAUAGCCAUAUGCAAUUGAUGCAGAGCACUGGUUAUCGACCUCCAGGUGGCUUUCAGAUGAGAAUGAAUGCAUCAGCAGUCUCAGAGAAGAUUCAGAGAUCAGAGGGAUUCAUCUGUUACUUUCUUCUCUGUGAAAGAUGAUGAGACAACUGAAACCUCUGCAAUGAGAGCAACUAUAAAGAGUGAUUGAUGUAAUGAGCAUACUUCAAUUAACAAUUUGGUACUAUUCUAAUUACAGAUUAUGAAUUGAUUAAGAAAAGAAAGAGAAAAGAAAUCAGAAGAAAAGAUCAUACAAAGAGAAUUCUUAUAGAGAGAAACUCAGAGUGAAAGAAUAUCAGAAGCCACUUCACAGUGAAGUAUGAAGUAGAAGAAUAUUAAAAGAUAUGUAUAAGAAUUAUUAGAAACUAUACAAGUGUGAAGUGUGAGACAGAGAAAUCAUUGAGAGCUACACAGAAGAAUUGUUAAAGACUAUACAAAUAUGAGAUAUGAAAUGAGAGAACAUUAAAAGCUACAUAAAAGAAUUGUUAGAGACUAUAUGAACAUGAAAUAUGAAGUAGAAAAAUGUUAAAAGCUAUACAAAAGAAUUGUUAGAAACUAUA